AUUGAACGCUGGCGGCAGGCUUAACACAUGCAAGUCGAGCGGGGUGAUGGUGCUUGCACUAUCACUUAGCGGCGGACGGGUGAGUAAUGCUUAGGAAUCUGCCUAUUAGUGGGGGACAACAUCUCGAAAGGGAUGCUAAUACCGCAUACGUCCUACGGGAGAAAGCAGGGGAUCACUUGUGACCUUGCGCUAAUAGAUGAGCCUAAGUCGGAUUAGCUAGUUGGUGGGGUAAAGGCCUACCAAGGCGACGAUCUGUAGCGGGUCUGACAGGAUGAUCCGCCACACUGGGACUGAGACACGGCCCAGACUCCUACGGGAGGCAGCAGUGGGGUGUAUUGGACAAUGGGGGGAACCCUGAUCCAGCCAUGCCGCGUGUGUGAAGAAGGCCUUAUGGUUGUAAAGCACUUUAAGCGAGGAGGAGGCUCUUUUGGUUAAUACCCAAGAUGAGUGGACGUUACUCGCAGAAUAAGCACCGGCUAACUCUGUGCCAGCCGCCGCGGUAA
RNAcentral lists this ribosomal RNA (503 nucleotides) under uncultured bacterium. RNAcentral describes it as "partial 16S ribosomal RNA". It matches the Rfam family "Bacterial small subunit ribosomal RNA", at positions 30 to 523 of the family's 1533-position model. The record is from RNAcentral.